Long non-coding RNA from Amphiprion ocellaris (clown anemonefish), 669 nucleotides. RefSeq lists it as uncharacterized. NCBI's taxonomy places the organism in Eukaryota, Metazoa, Chordata, Actinopteri, Pomacentridae. The record is from RefSeq and is a predicted model, not a curated record. The transcript is spliced from 3 exons.
ACGAUGACCCGUUGAGAAGCCAUGUUAGUGCUCCGGCUGUCAAUCAGAAAGUGAGGGUCGGAGCCGCGGAUCUUCAGCUCAAAUACCCGGACACCGUCAGCGGGAGGAGGAGGAGGCUGGAGCAACAGGUUGAUGGAACAGACAACCAAGAAAAAAGAGCUCAAAGACAAUAAAAUGCUUUAGAGAGAUUCUCCUACAGAGUCUCUUUGCCAGCCCGCUUUCCCAAUCAGCCUGCAACUCGCUGUGCCAGAAGCCACGUCCACCUCCUAAGUCUGCAAACAGUCAGUCAUCCACCCACCAGGCCACAGAGCACACUCAGAGCCACCAGUCAUCACACAGGUCAAGAUUCCCACACCAAGCUGCUCACCUGCUGCAGCCUCCUCUUCUCUAUAUACCGCCUAUCAAAUAAGUCUGUUCACAAUAACAAAAAAAUAAAUGCUAUGUUUUGCCUUUGGGUCCAGAAAUCUAAUGAUUAACUGCAACAAUUACAAAAAAAAAAACAUUGUACAAAGGGGCUGUGCAGUGACUUGGUGAGCACUGUUGCCUGCUUCACAUCCCAACCUGGGAUCUUUCUGCAUGGAGUUUGCAUGUUCUCCCUGUGCAUGCAUGUUUUUUCACCGAGUUCUCCGGCUUCCCCUUACAGUCCAAAAAUAUGCUGAGGUAACUCUA